Long non-coding RNA from Larimichthys crocea (large yellow croaker), 469 nucleotides. RefSeq lists it as uncharacterized. The transcript has 2 exons. Lineage: Eukaryota; Metazoa; Chordata; Actinopteri; Sciaenidae. The record is from RefSeq and is a predicted model, not a curated record.
AAACUAUUUAGUCCAUGUCCUCCAUAGAGGUAAAAGGUUUCUUGGAGAUGUCUGGUCACUAAUAUAUCUUGUGGAGACCUUGACCUUCCUGAUUCUGCUGGUCACACUGUUGUCUUCAGGUUAUCCCUUGAUGGUGGCAUGACAAGCAACAACCAUCUCCUCUGAUGUGUCCAGAAGGAGGAAGAGAAGCAUGAUCCCCCUAUUGGAACCCUGAGGCAUUGCAAACAGAUCAACGAACAAUUAACCCACACAGAAGAUGAUCUGCAUCACCUAACUGCAUUCCCCUUCUUGUAUCACUGGCUGCGUAGUCCUAACAGUGACCGCAUCUCUCUCCAACAAGCAUGGUACAAUCAACAAGAAGAUGCUUUUGUAGGAGCAGUACAGUCUAGAUUCAAUGACUGGGGUAAAGCUAGGAGGACAGUGUUGGUAAUACAUUACGUUUGACAAUAAAGGUCAUGAUAAUUUGUUA